CUCAUUUACUUUAACUUGACUUUAAUUGAAUUUACUGUUUAUGAAAACUGCAUGUUGACAGAGUGUUACGUAUUAGUAAUUGAAUUGUAUUAUAUAUUUUUUUUUCAAAGUCAUUUCUUAAAUUGCAACGAAAAUAAUAUCGUAAAGGAUAACUCAUGUGCUCCAUUUUUGACUUGAGUAAAACGGUUCCUCAGUAUGGUGUCACACCACUAAUUCAUUCAAUUAGCAUUUAGAAAAUGUAAAUACAAUUGAGAAAGGAAAUGGGGAAUGUGUCAAAGCGACAACAACCCAACCAUAGAGCAGACAACAGCCGAAGGCCACCAAUGGGUCUUCAAUGUAGCGAGAAAACCUACUCUGACAAAUAAAUGAAACUUCACUUAAGGUCAAGGAUCAGUAAAUGAACUAGUCCAUAGAUUUAAAAAAAAAAUAGAACUCAAUAAGAUAUUGAAAAUAUACAUCAGAAAAUGUACAAAAAGUAUAUGUCACCGAUGGUCCGAGA
This 499-nucleotide long non-coding RNA is filed under the name Mytilus galloprovincialis (Mediterranean mussel). The record is from RNAcentral. Lineage: Eukaryota; Metazoa; Mollusca; Bivalvia; Mytilida; Mytilidae.